AAUCCUCUUUUAUUCAAACUUAUCUCCCCUUCAUUUAUCUCAAACUCAGCCCCUCAUUCCCAAACUCAACCGCAACUGUCUUCUUCCACUGUUCAUCAUGCCACUGUCAAGCUUGUUGCCUCUGCGAACCAGCUACAUCUCCCUUUACCGUCCUUCAAGUGGUGAAGCAGCUGAACACUUUGGAUGAUCCGACUCAUAUCUUCCAUCAUCAUCUCUCACUUCUUGUCUUACACUGAUCAUGGCCAUCAUCGUCACUCUUUUCAUGGGUGUUUUAUAAUUGAUUGUGGUGUCUUUGUAAGAAUAGUAAUAGGAAGAUUUUUGUUGUUGUUGAAGGCUGUUAUAAGUAGUUUAGUUAGCUAUUGUUGAAGGCAAUUGAUUGUUGAAGACAACCGAAUCAUGUAGAGGGAUUUUAAUUUUUAGUUCUUUUUCAUUUUACGUUUUGUGAUUUUCUGGGGAAAAAAAUUGGAUUGUAUUUUGUGAAAUUAUUGUAAACCGAAUUUGUAACCCAAACCGAAUUUAAUUCGGAUCGGUUCAGUUUGGAUUACAAAUUUGAAACCAUUUGGGUUCAGUUUGGGUUACAAAAAGGACAAGUGAAAAAGAUUAAUCUGAAAUAGAAUGAUAUUAAGGUGCCUUUGUAGAUUGGUAACGUUGAAUGUGGCUAAUAUGACUUUCCAAGAAUGAUUUUGUUUAGUCAUUAGCCUAGCAUGCUAGUAAAUCUAUAUUUAAUUUGAUUAUCUUUCCCUGUAAAAAAGUAAAAGUGAAGGUCCUUUGUGAUUUGGUCAAUUUGUUGCGGUUGAUAUAUUGUACAAUUGUGAUAAAUUUGCAUGGUAUCAAUAUGACUUAAGGCAAGAUUUUUUGCCCUUAUUUUUUUCCCCAUCUCCAUCUCUCUAUUUAGAUGCCUUCACUGUUUAUAACUUUUUGGAGUCUCUCAUUUCUUAUUAUCUUAUUUGUAUGUGUAGGGUUGCCAUGAAAACAUUUGGGAUCAAUGCUGGAAGGCUAACUAAGGAUUGAACUAUACGGAAAAUGGUUCAGUGGUAUUGAUUCUGUGCUUAAAGUGUGGAGUGAAUUUAGAUAAAUGUAUAGUUCAACAAACUAGAUCUUUUUUUUUAUUAUUAUAUAUAUACAUUUCAAACAUUUAAAGUUUGUCCUUGUAUAAUUUAUAUAAAUGUAUAGUUUCAAACUGGAUUUUAUUUUUGAUAUAUACAGUUUAUGUUAAUAUGAUUUUGAGUUUGCUAUUUUAUUGUUUAGUUUGGAG
This 1255-nucleotide long non-coding RNA is filed under the name Citrus sinensis (sweet orange). RNAcentral describes it as "long non-coding RNA (CSIN_LNC001016)". The record is from RNAcentral. Lineage: Eukaryota; Viridiplantae; Streptophyta; Magnoliopsida; Sapindales; Rutaceae.